GAGUUUGAUCAUGGCUCAGAUUGAGCGCUGGCGGCAUGCCUUACACAUGCAAGUCGAACGGCAGCACGGGAGCUUGCUCCUGGUGGCGAGUGGCGAACGGGUGAGUAAUGCAUCGGAACGUAUCCUGGAGUGGGGGAUAACGUAGCGAAGGUUACGCUAAUACCGCAUAUUCUGUGAGCAGGAAAGCGGGGGACCUUCGGGCCUCGCGCUCUUGGAGCGGCCGAUGUCGGAUUAGCUAGUUGGUGAGGUAAAGGCUCACCAAGGCGACGAUCCGUAGCAGGUCUGAGAGGAUGAUCUGCCACACUGGAACUGAGACACGGUCCAGACUCCUACGGGAGGCAGCAGUGGGGAAUUUUGGACAAUGGGGGCAACCCUGACCCAGCCAUGCCGCGUGAGUGAAGAAGGCC
This 407-nucleotide ribosomal RNA is filed under the name bacterium enrichment culture clone ALO1_GLFRUDD03F9FJN. RNAcentral's name for it is "bacterial SSU rRNA". It matches the Rfam family "Bacterial small subunit ribosomal RNA", at positions 9 to 416 of the family's 1533-position model. The record is from RNAcentral.